RNAcentral lists this ribosomal RNA (497 nucleotides) under uncultured bacterium. RNAcentral describes it as "partial 16S ribosomal RNA". It matches the Rfam family "Bacterial small subunit ribosomal RNA", at positions 28 to 507 of the family's 1533-position model. The record is from RNAcentral.
GAUGAACGCUGGCGGCGUGCCUAAUACAUGCAAGUCGAGCGAACGGACGAGAAGCUUGCUUCUCUGAUGUUAGCGGCGGACGGGUGAGUAACACGUGGAUAACCUACCUAUAAGACUGGGAUAACUUCGGGAAACCGGAGCUAAUACCGGAUAAUAUUUUGAACCGCAUGGUUCAAAAGUGAAAGACGGUCUUGCUGUCACUUAUAGAUGGAUCCGCGCUGCAUUAGCUAGUUGGUAAGGUAAAGGCUUACCAAGGCAACGAUGCAUAGCCGAACUGAGAGGGUGAUAGGCCACACUGGAACUGAACCACGGUCCAGACUACUGCGGGAGGCAGCAGUAGGGAAUCUUCCGCAAUGGGCGAAAGCCUGACGGAGCAACGCCGCGUGAGUGAUGAAGGUCUUCGGAUCGUAAAACUCUGUUAUUAGGGAAGAACAUAUGUGUAAGUAACUGUGCACAUCUUGACGGUACCUAAUCAGAAAGCCACGGCUAACUACGUG